UCCUACGGGAGGCAGCAGUGAGGAAUCUUGCGCAAUGGGGGCAACCCUGACGCAGCCACGCCGCGUGCUGGAAGACGGCCCUAUGGGUUGUAAACAGCUUUUGAUGGGGAAGAACCUGGACCGUUCGCGGACCACUGACGGUACCCAUCGAAUAAGCACCGGCUAACUCCGUGCCAGCAGCCGCGGUAAUA
Molecule: ribosomal RNA, 191 nt
Filed under: uncultured bacterium
Lineage: Bacteria
Description: partial 16S ribosomal RNA
Rfam family: Bacterial small subunit ribosomal RNA
Source: RNAcentral